UGGCCUCAGAUCAGGGAG
RNAcentral lists this ribosomal RNA (18 nucleotides) under Iphiclides feisthamelii. RNAcentral describes it as "partial 28S ribosomal RNA". Lineage: Eukaryota; Metazoa; Arthropoda; Insecta; Lepidoptera; Papilionidae. RNAcentral also lists the same sequence under 1 other name. The record is from RNAcentral.